RNAcentral lists this ribosomal RNA (492 nucleotides) under uncultured bacterium. RNAcentral describes it as "partial 16S ribosomal RNA". It matches the Rfam family "Bacterial small subunit ribosomal RNA", at positions 29 to 507 of the family's 1533-position model. The record is from RNAcentral.
AGUGAGCGCUGGCGGUAGGCCUAACACAUGCAAGUCGAACGGCAGCACAGUAAGAGCUUGCUCUUACGGGUGGCGAGUGGCGGACGGGUGAGGAAUACAUCGGAAUCUACUUUUUCGUGGGGGAUAACGUAGGGAAACUUACGCUAAUACCGCAUACGACCUACGGGUGAAAGCAGGGGAUCUUCGGACCUUGCGCGAUUGAAUGAGCCGAUGUCGGAUUAGCUAGUUGGCGGGGUAAAGGCCCACCAAGGCGACGAUCCGUAGCUGGUCUGAGAGGAUGAUCAGCCACACUGGAACUGAGACACGGUCCAGACUCCUACGGGAGGCAGCAGUGGGGAAUAUUGGACAAUGGGCGAAAGCCUGAUCCAGCCAUACCGCGUGGGUGAAGAAGGCCUUCGGGUUGUAAAGCCCUUUUGUUGGGAAAGAAAAGCAGCAGGUUAAUACCCCGAUGUUCUGACGGUACCCAAAGAAUAAGCACCGGCUAACUUCGUG